ACGGUGAAUAGUGGAAGGUCUCUGACCAACCACUAGGAUCAGUGGCGGACGGGUGAGUAACGCGUGGAUAACCUGCCUGUAAGACUGGGAUAACACCGGGAAACCGGUGCUAAUACCGGACGUGCUGUAGAGGGGGCAUCCUCUUUACAGGAAAGGACGUAAGUCCGCUUACAGAUGGGUCCGCGUCCCAUUAGCUAGCUGGUGGGGUAAAGGCCUACCAGGGCGACGAUGGGUAGCCGGCCUGAGAGGGUGGUCGGCCACACUGGGACUGAGACACGGCCCAGACUCCUACGGGAGGCAGCAGUGGGGAAUAUUGCGCAAUGGGCGGAAGCCUGACGCAGCGACGCCGCGUGGGUGACGAAGGCCUUCGGGUCGUAAAACCCUGUUGCAGGGGACGAAGGAAGUGACGGUACCCUGUGAGGAAGCCCCGGCUAACUACGUGCCAGCAGCCGCGGUAAAACGUAGGGGGCGAGCGUUGUCCGGAAUUACUGGGCGUAAAGAGCUCGUAGGCGGUAGCUCAAGUCAGCUGUGAAAACCGACGGCUUAACCGGAGGAUUGCAGUUGAUACUGGGUUACUUGAGGCAAGGAGAGGAAGGUGGAAUUCCCGGUGUAGCGGUGAAAU
This 622-nucleotide ribosomal RNA is filed under the name uncultured Thermacetogenium sp. Its description in RNAcentral is "bacterial SSU rRNA". It matches the Rfam family "Bacterial small subunit ribosomal RNA", at positions 66 to 687 of the family's 1533-position model. Lineage: Bacteria; Bacillati; Bacillota; Clostridia; Thermoanaerobacterales; Thermoanaerobacteraceae. The record is from RNAcentral.